This is a long non-coding RNA of Paramormyrops kingsleyae, 1552 nucleotides long. RefSeq lists it as uncharacterized. The record is from RefSeq and is a predicted model, not a curated record. Lineage: Eukaryota; Metazoa; Chordata; Actinopteri; Osteoglossiformes; Mormyridae.
UGACAAGCAACACUGAGACUUACAGGCAACACUUCCUGAGUGUGAAUGAUGAAAUGUCUUAGUGUAGAGGGGAACUCUGCCUGAAAAAGGGGAAGAUAAAAAGGAUGUCAUAAUACCUCGACAUUCUGGUCACUGCUCCAGCCUCUGAUUGCCUGCGCAGAAAUGUGAGAUUUUCUCCUGUGAAUGUUUUUAUAAAUACAUUUUUCACACCAAUUUCGUUUUCAGCCAAUGGGGAACACCCUAACCAGUAUCGAUAUCGAAAGAAUCGGUCAUUACUCCGAGAAAUCAACAACUAAAAAGAAGCAUUUGUGUGCGUGAAAAGAAUCUAUCAAGACGGUCAUCAAAAUUGCAGAAGAGUCCAUCAAGGAAGUCAUAAGGAUUCCAUAAGAGUUCAUAAGGGAGUGUCAUCCGCAAAGGAUUCGUGUAAGAUUCCAGAAUGAAUGGAUCCAGCUCAUUGAACUUUACUACUGAUUAUGUGGACAUCUUUGAAGAAACAGUUGCAUGGAUCAUAUUAUCAAUUGGCCUUCCUGCAAUCAGCCUGGCCUGUUAUGCACUGUACCGCUUGAUCAAGGCUGAUCAUGUCGCCCCCCUAUAUGUCAUCAACCUCCUCCUUUCAGAUCUGGUGCAAAUCAUCUGCAGAAUAUACUUUGUUUCUCAGAAGCAUUUUGGAUUCCUCUCUCCAGAACUUAUCAAAGCUCGAUUGAUUUUUCUGGUCAUUGUCCGUUUUGGCUUAGUUGCUAGUCUUGGCUUCAUGGUGUGCAUCUCCCUGGAGAGGUACCUGGUGGUUGCUCAUCCACUUUGGUAUCGGUACCGUCGCAACCUGAAGUACACAGUGUUAACGUGUAUUUUCAUAUGGUUGUUUUCUGUGAUAUAUGCAGUGAUUGAGUAUAACAUAGAAGUCUACAGAACCUUCUUAAGUCUUCUAGCAACCCUAUUCCUGCUGCCAUUUCCUUUUCUUCUCUUCUUCUAUGUGAGCUCAAGGAGAGCCUUGAAAAGCACUAUUUCAGUUUCUGUUGCAGAAAAGAAUCGGAUCCUUGGUGCUUUAGCCCUGGUCUUUGGCAUCUAUGUUGUGCUAUAUCUGCCCUUUACGUUCAUGGCAUUUUUUCUGGUAAUAUCUAACAUACGCACUUACACAGUGUAUUGCUUUAUGGCUGUUGCACGCUCCAUGGUGCGUCUCAGUCCCCUUGUGGACCCCUUCCUGUACAUUUUCAUGAGAAAGGGAGCCAGAGACACACUGGAGGCCUUCCCCUGCUUCAGGAGGGUAUUUGGAUGGAGCACAACUAGAUCUGAUGCAGAAACUACAUAGUAAGCAAAUGUAUUCAUACAUGUAUCAGCAAAUUGAGAUGCCCUAUUGUUGAAUCUGAAUUUUACAUUUACCUUUUAUCUUGUCUAGUUUAUAAUACUUUAUUGCUUUAAAAACAUUCUCUUGUAAUAUUUUACCCUUGUAAUCUAUACUUUUCCCACACUCACCAACUUCUACAAUUUCUAGACAUACUGGAUGGAUCAGCUGGAAAUGUUAAAGCUAAUAAAUGUGCUUUUACCUGAAUGACAA